Molecule: non-coding RNA, 77 nt
Organism: Myotis lucifugus (little brown bat)
Lineage: Eukaryota; Metazoa; Chordata; Mammalia; Chiroptera; Vespertilionidae
Source: Rfam
GAGACACCCUUCUGGGGCAAGACUUGCUUCAGUGGGGCUUUGGUGCUCACUGAGUCUGCCCCCUGAGUGUGUCCUCU